Molecule: ribosomal RNA, 590 nt
Filed under: Colletotrichum gloeosporioides
Lineage: Eukaryota; Fungi; Ascomycota; Sordariomycetes; Glomerellales; Glomerellaceae
Also listed under: 1 other name
Description: eukaryotic LSU rRNA
Rfam family: 5.8S ribosomal RNA (bases 227-380)
Source: RNAcentral
GGAAGUAAAAGUCGUAACAAGGUCUCCGUUGGUGAACCAGCGGAGGGAUCAUUACUGAGUUUACGCUCUAUAACCCUUUGUGAACAUACCUAUAACUGUUGCUUCGGCGGGUAGGGUCUCCGCGACCCUCCCGGCCUCCCGCCUCCGGGCGGGUCGGCGCCCGCCGGAGGAUAACCAAACUCUGAUUUAACGACGUUUCUUCUGAGUGGUACAAGCAAAUAAUCAAAACUUUUAACAACGGAUCUCUUGGUUCUGGCAUCGAUGAAGAACGCAGCGAAAUGCGAUAAGUAAUGUGAAUUGCAGAAUUCAGUGAAUCAUCGAAUCUUUGAACGCACAUUGCGCCCGCCAGCAUUCUGGCGGGCAUGCCUGUUCGAGCGUCAUUUCAACCCUCAAGCUCUGCUUGGUGUUGGGGCCCUACAGCUGAUGUAGGCCCUCAAAGGUAGUGGCGGACCCUCCCGGAGCCUCCUUUGCGUAGUAACUUUACGUCUCGCACUGGGAUCCGGAGGGACUCUUGCCGUAAAACCCCCCAAUUUUCCAAAGGUUGACCUCGGAUCAGGUAGGAAUACCCGCUGAACUUAAGCAUAUCAAUA